RNAcentral lists this ribosomal RNA (437 nucleotides) under uncultured Oscillospiraceae bacterium. RNAcentral describes it as "bacterial SSU rRNA". It matches the Rfam family "Bacterial small subunit ribosomal RNA", at positions 341 to 792 of the family's 1533-position model. The record is from RNAcentral. Lineage: Bacteria; Bacillati; Bacillota; Clostridia; Eubacteriales; Oscillospiraceae.
ACGGAAGGCAGCAGUGGGGAAUAUUGGGCAAUGGGGGAAACCCUGACCCAGCAACGCCGCGUGAAGGAAGAAGGCUUUCGGGUUGUAAACUUCUUUUACCAGGGACGAAGGACGUGACGGUACCUGGAGAAAAAGCCACGGCUAACUACGUGCCAGCAGCCGCGGUAAUACGUAGAUGGCAAGCGUUGUCCGGAUUUACUGGGUGUAAAGGGCGUGUAGGCGGAGAUGCAAGUCAGAAGUGAAAUCUAGGGGCUCAACCCCUAAACUGCUUUUGAAACUGUAUCCCUUGAGUAUCGGAGAGGCAGGCGGAAUUCCCAGUGUAGCGGUGAAAUGCGUAGAUAUUGGGAGGAACACCAGUGGCGAAGGCGACUUACUGGACUGUUACUGACGCUGAGGCGCGAAAGUGUGGGGAGCAAACAGGAUUAGAUACCCUGGUA